UAGUCCACGCCGUAAACGAUGGGUACUAGGUGCCUGGGGGAGCGACCCCUUGGGUGCCGGCGCUAACGCAGGAAGUACCCCGCCUGGGGAGUACGACCGCAAGGUUGAAACUCAAAGGAAUUGACGGGGGCCCGCACAAGCGGUGGAGCAUGUGGUUUAAUUCGACGCAACGCGAAGAACCUUACCUAGGCUUGACAUGCAUGGGAAACUCCUCAGAAACGAGGAGCCUCCUUCGGGAUCCAUGCAC
Molecule: ribosomal RNA, 247 nt
Filed under: uncultured bacterium
Lineage: Bacteria
Description: partial 16S ribosomal RNA
Rfam family: Bacterial small subunit ribosomal RNA
Source: RNAcentral